Molecule: non-coding RNA, 1929 nt
Organism: Zootermopsis nevadensis
Lineage: Eukaryota; Metazoa; Arthropoda; Insecta; Blattodea; Termopsidae
Source: RefSeq, a predicted model, not a curated record
AUUAGACCACAAUCUGAUUUUUCUCUUUCCUUCUAUCUUGGACACCUCUGUAAGUUGGACACAUUUUCGUGGAACCCCAAGUGUCCAACAUAGAGAGGUUUUACUGUAAUAAAAUUAUAACUACUGAAAAAGAGAAGAAUGUACGUUUCUCUCUCUCUCAAAAAAUACCCAUCAAAAAUUAGAGCUGGAGAGGUGAUGGGGUUGGAAAUACUUUUCAGAAUAUCCUGAAUACUUAAAGGAAUGAACUUUAUAUUAAUAAGCACAGGAGAGUUGUAGCAGAUAUUUAUGUUAUUUAUAUAAGAAUUUUCAAGAGUGGAAGGAGUAUUGGAGGAGUGGAGAAUUAUAAAAUAGGCCUUAUUACUCUCAAAAGAAUAAAUAGCAUGUGACUUUCUCUGUUUAAAUAGUCUGCCUGAAAGUGCAGUGAUGCAGAAAGGCAAGCAUACAUUUUGUAUUUGAACUUAAAUGUUAACACAGGGGAUUAAAUUGAGUAUUAGCCAUCUAUCCCAUAAUGACAUGUGACAUUUUAAUGUGCUGUUUAACUUAAAGUAAUUAAUCGCUCACCACAGUUUUCUGUGGUUUGUAUUGUGGAGAGCAUGUUCCAAAAAUAGGAUUAAAAGUGUUUGCAUUUUGCAUAAUACAAAUGUCUGUAUAUAAAUACUGUGCAAGUUGAUACAAUUAAAAUUUAACAUAAGACUGUGUAAGUAUAUAUGCAUGUGUGUUUCUACAAAGACCAACCUAUUUACCAGAAUGUAUGACAGCAUAUUGUGUGUGUAUGUGUAUUUUUUAUGGCAUUGCUAUGUUUUAUCUUAACUUGGAUGGGAAACUGAAUUAGUAGGCACAUCUUUUUUUUCCGUCUCAUGGUCAGCGUGACCGUCGUGACCCCUUUUGGGGUUUUCUUGCAAAAGUACCAUGGUGGUUUUGCCUUGCCUUCCGUGGCCAGUCUUUACCCACCAGACUGGAAGAGGGGACGCGGACAAACAUCCAUGCCUUGAGUGGGACUCGAACCCACGGUCGCAGUGGCCAGGCGCACAAGGACCAUGCCUCAGACUGCAUGGCCACUGCGCGGGCAGGCACAUCAUUGUUUAUACAGGUUAACUUCAUAUAUGGUACUGGUAUCUGGAAAGUUAUGCAUAAUGGGAAAUUACAAGAUCUGUUAAGUGUGAUGUCCAUCAUGUUCAAAGAAUUUCUCAGUUUGGUAACAAGUUCUCCAGAGCUGCUGUUGGCAGGGAGUAGGUUGAAGAGUCGUGCAAUUUUACCAAUCAUAAGAGUCAUGCUGGGGAAGAGGACCUGGCUGCUGUGUGUGUAGUCGUGUGAGUGCCGGGGCUGCCUUCGUAUCUUCAUACUGGGCCAGCAACUCAGUAUACAUCUGCCACACAAAUCAAGCACCACAUCCUCGACCCAGACCAUGAUGGAUUCCUUGUAACACACCUUGAGCUGAGCUGCGCAACUGUUGGGGUGUGUUGUGUGCAAUAUAAGAACAGCAUGCAGCCCAUACUGCAGCAUGGGUGAUUCCUAUGGAGACUAACCUGAAGGUGCCAAAACAGGAAAGUAAAGAUGAGACCAAUGCCAGAUCCCAUGAACCAAGAAACAAAGAGGAAUGAACCACACUUAAGCAUCUGGGCUGCAUGGAUGUUCUGGGAAUGAAGUGGAAUGGUCAAGAGCAAUUCCAACAAAAAACAUGGCAAGCCCCCAUCCUAGAGAACCAAACAUGCGCUGAUGUCCAUAGCGAUCAGCAUCCUCACCCAGCAGUGUGAUCACAGCUGAAUCAGCCAGGGUAAUAGCAGGAGCACUGAAGAAUUCUCCUAUUAUCACCAGAAGAAGAAGCAGGAAGAAGACUUUCUGAAUGUCCUGUGCAGAAAUCAGAUUUAGAAAAUAUCAUGUACAGUUUGUGAUAUUUUAUUAAUUUUUAAUUUGUCAUGUUUCUGCUGA